This 207-nucleotide ribosomal RNA is filed under the name uncultured bacterium. RNAcentral describes it as "partial 16S ribosomal RNA". It matches the Rfam family "Bacterial small subunit ribosomal RNA", at positions 568 to 774 of the family's 1533-position model. The record is from RNAcentral.
CGUGUAGGCGGUUUGGCAAGUCGAGCGUGAAAUCCCACGGCUCAACCGUGGAACUGCGCUCGAAACUGCCUUACUUGAGUGCGGGAGAGGUGUGCGGAAUUCCUGGUGUAGCGGUGGAAUGCGUAGAUAUCAGGAAGAACACCGGUGGCGAAGGCGGCACACUGGCCCAGCACUGACGCUGAGGCGCGAAAGCGUGGGGAGCGAACG